GUUCGGGGACAUAAACAUAACAAGGGGCCAAUUUAUUUUAAUUGUUACCUGAACUUUUCAAUGUCGUUAUCCGACCCCAAAAUUUUGAAAACCCCUUACCUUAAGCAUGGAUGCCCAAGGGUAUAAUAUAGACAUGUGUUGAUGAUUUGAUAUUUUGUUUGUCCAUCAAUGUUCCAUUCAAUAAUGGAUCGUCCAUCAUAAUGCACCUUUCACCUGUAUCAUUAUCCUCGAAAUGAAGAUCCACUUGAGUUGGCCUAGGAUAAUAAUUUUUUAAAAUGGGUGUUCUUGUGACUCUAUGUCCUUAUUUUAUCCUAUUCACUUGUGGGUCUAAGGUUGAAUCGGCAAAUUGCUCUUCCAAAUCAACAAUUUAUGCCUCCGUAAUGACUAAGACACUUAACUCAGUUAACUUCAUUAAGCUCAAUCUUUUUGCCAAAGCAUCAACAAAAUUAUCAUCUGUUAGGGGUUUUCCUAGCUUAUAUAUAUUUUUUACAAAGUGAAAAUUAAACGUACAAACAACUGAGCUAAGAAGCCUUAUAAAUAGAAAACUAAAAGCAAACUGAAAAACCAGAUGUCGCAAAAGAUGAAGGGCACUAUAAUGCAACCUUGCACAUUAGGUGGCAUCUUCACUUUAUGAAGUGGAUCUGACUCAGCUUCAUGGGGUUGAACAUAAAGAUUCUGAAAAUGCAGCACACCGAAAAAAAUCUACAGGAAUCAAAGACAUUAUUCAAAGAAUGAAUAAUUGUUGACAUCUAGAUAUUAGACAGCGUAUUAACUUUUCUUUAUCAUUCUCUUUUAUCAGAGAACCACUUUCACUUUUAUCAAAGAAAAGCAUUUCAUACUUUAUUUCUUUGGACGGAUAAGAGGAUAGAUUCCAAAACAGUCGUCUUCGUUGUCAUUUCUGAAGUCUUCAUCCAUGUGAUUCUGGGAUGCAACUUCUGACUCUAUAUCCUCAUCAUCUAAGUCGUCGAGUUCAAGAAUUUUCAAAAACUUUUCCUUCAGAUCUUUUUUAGAAUAGGAAGGGCUGUAUUUGAUUAAAGACUUAGGUUUUUCAGUCUUUUUAAAUGAGU
This 1067-nucleotide long non-coding RNA is filed under the name Malus domestica (apple). RNAcentral describes it as "long non-coding RNA (MDOM_LNC008184)". The record is from RNAcentral. Lineage: Eukaryota; Viridiplantae; Streptophyta; Magnoliopsida; Rosales; Rosaceae.